GAUGAAGAACGUAGCGAAAUGCGAUAAGUAAUGUGAAUUGCAGAAUUCAGUGAAUCAUCGAAUCUUUGAACGCACAUUGCGCCCGCCAGUAUUCUGGCGGGCAUGCCUGUUCGAGCGUCAUUUCAACCAUCAAGCCUUCGCUUGUGUUGGGGCCCCGCGGCUGCCGCGGUCCCCUAAAUCCAGUGGCGGGCUCGUCGUCGUACCGAGCGCAGUAGACAUCCUCGCUCCGGGAACCCGACGGGUGCCGGCCGUGAAACCCCCCACAUCAAGGUUGACCUCGGAUCAGGUAGGAAUACCCGCUGAACUUAAGCAUAUCAAUAAGCGGAGGA
Molecule: unclassified non-coding RNA, 329 nt
Filed under: soil metagenome
Description: partial contains 5.8S ribosomal RNA, internal transcribed spacer 2, and large subunit ribosomal RNA
Rfam family: 5.8S ribosomal RNA (bases 1-120)
Source: RNAcentral